RNAcentral lists this ribosomal RNA (253 nucleotides) under uncultured bacterium. RNAcentral describes it as "partial 16S ribosomal RNA". It matches the Rfam family "Bacterial small subunit ribosomal RNA", at positions 524 to 776 of the family's 1533-position model. The record is from RNAcentral.
UACGUAGGGGGCUAGCGUUGUCCGGAAUCAUUGGGCGUAAAGCGCGCGUAGGCGGCCCGGUAAGUCCGCUGUGAAAGUCAAAGGCUCAACCUUUGAAUGUCAGCGGAUACUGCCGGGCUAGAGUCCGGAAGAGGCGAGUGGAAUUCCUGGUGUAGCGGUGGAAUGCGCAGAUAUCAGGAGGAACACCCGUGGCGAAAGCGGCUCUCUGGGACGGUACUGACGCUGAGACGCGAAAGCGUGGGGAGCAAACAGG